Molecule: ribosomal RNA, 253 nt
Filed under: uncultured Gemmatimonas sp.
Lineage: Bacteria; Pseudomonadati; Gemmatimonadota; Gemmatimonadia; Gemmatimonadales; Gemmatimonadaceae
Description: partial 16S ribosomal RNA
Rfam family: Bacterial small subunit ribosomal RNA
Source: RNAcentral
UACGGAGGGUGCGAGCGUUGUCCGGAAUCACUGGGCGUAAAGGGCGCGUAGGCGGCCCGUUAAGCGUGUGGUGAAAGCCCGGGGCUCAACUCCGGGUCGGCCAUGCGAACUGGCGGGCUUGAGCACUGUAGAGGCAGGUGGAAUUCCGGGUGUAGCGGUGGAAUGCGUAGAGAUCCGGAAGAACACCGGUGGCGAAGGCGGCCUGCUGGGCAGUAGCUGACGCUGAGGCGCGACAGCGUGGGGAGCAAACAGG